RNAcentral lists this ribosomal RNA (459 nucleotides) under uncultured bacterium. RNAcentral's name for it is "partial 16S ribosomal RNA". It matches the Rfam family "Bacterial small subunit ribosomal RNA", at positions 338 to 795 of the family's 1533-position model. The record is from RNAcentral.
CCUACGGGAGGCAGCAGUGAGGAAUAUUGGUCAAUGGACGCAAGUCUGAACCAGCCAAGCCGCGUGCAGGAAGACGGCUCUGUGAGUUGUAAACAGCUUUUGUACGAGGGUAAACGCAGAUACGCGUAUCUGUCUGGAAGUUACGUACGAAUAAGGAUCGGCUAACCCCGGGCCAGCAACCGCGGUAAUACGGAGGAUUCAAGCGUUAUCCGGAUUUAUUGGGUUUAAAGGGGUCGUAGGCGGCCUGUUAAGUCAGCGGUAAAAGUCCGGGGCGCAACCCCGGCGAGUCGUUGAAACUGGGGGGCUGGAGUUGGAGAGAAGUAUGCGGAAUGCGCGGUGUAGCGGUGAAAUGCUUAGAUAUCGCGCAGAACCCCGAUUGCGAAGGCAGCGUACCGGCUCCACACUGACGCUGAGGCACGAAAGCGUGGGUAUCGAACAGGAUUAGAUACCCGAGUAGUC